UACGUAGGGUCCAAGCGUUAAUCGGAAUUACUGGGCGUAAAGCGUGCGCAGGCGGUUCGCAAAGACAGGUGUGAAAUCCCCCGGGCUUAACCUGGGAACUGCGCUUGUAACUAGCGGGCUAGAGUACGGCAGAGGGGGGGUGGAAUUCCACGUGUAGCAGUGAAAUGCGUAGAGAUGUGGAGGAACACCGAUGGCGAAGGCAGCCCCCCUGGGCUAGUACUGACGCCUCAUGCACAAAAGCGUGGGGAGCAAACAGGA
This 258-nucleotide ribosomal RNA is filed under the name uncultured bacterium. RNAcentral's name for it is "partial 16S ribosomal RNA". It matches the Rfam family "Bacterial small subunit ribosomal RNA", at positions 524 to 777 of the family's 1533-position model. The record is from RNAcentral.